Molecule: ribosomal RNA, 499 nt
Filed under: Pseudoalteromonas sp. ANT4
Lineage: Bacteria; Pseudomonadati; Pseudomonadota; Gammaproteobacteria; Alteromonadales; Pseudoalteromonadaceae
Description: bacterial SSU rRNA
Rfam family: Bacterial small subunit ribosomal RNA
Source: RNAcentral
UGAUCAUGGCUCAGAUUGAACGCUGGCGGCAGGCCUAACACAUGCAAGUCGAGCGGUAACAGAAAGUAGCUUGCUACUUUGCUGACGAGCGGCGGACGGGUGAGUAAUGCUUGGGAACAUGCCUUGAGGUGGGGGACAACAGUUGGAAACGACUGCUAAUACCGCAUAAUGUCUACGGACCAAAGGGGGCUUCGGCUCUCGCCUUUAGAUUGGCCCAAGUGGGAUUAGCUAGUUGGUGAGGUAAUGGCUCACCAAGGCGACGAUCCCUAGCUGGUUUGAGAGGAUGAUCAGCCACACUGGGACUGAGACACGGCCCAGACUCCUACGGGAGGCAGCAGUGGGGAAUAUUGCACAAUGGGCGCAAGCCUGAUGCAGCCAUGCCGCGUGUGUGAAGAAGGCCUUCGGGUUGUAAAGCACUUUCAGUCAGGAGGAAAGGNUNGUAGUUAAUACCNNUUANNUGUGACGUUACUGACAGAAGAAGCACCGGCUAACUCCGUGC